GAUGAAGAACGCAGCGAAAUGCGAUAAGUAAUGUGAAUUGCAGAAUUCAGUGAAUCAUCGAAUCUUUGAACGCACAUUGCGCCCCUUGGUAUUCCGAGGGGCAUGCCUGUUCGAGCGUCAUUAUAACCCUCAAGCUCAGCUUGGUGUUGGGACUCGCGUUAAUUCGCGUUCCUCAAAUUGAUUGGCGGUCACGUCGAGCUUCCAUAGCGUAGUAGUAAAACCCUCGUUACUGGUAAUCGUCGCGGCCACGCCGUUAAACCCCAACUUCUGAAUGUUGACCUCGGAUCAGGUAGGAAUACCCGCUGAACUUAAGCAUAUCAAUAAGCGGAGGA
This 332-nucleotide unclassified non-coding RNA is filed under the name soil metagenome. Its description in RNAcentral is "partial contains 5.8S ribosomal RNA, internal transcribed spacer 2, and large subunit ribosomal RNA". The stretch from base 1 to 120 matches the Rfam family "5.8S ribosomal RNA", at positions 35 to 154 of the family's 154-position model. The record is from RNAcentral.